RNAcentral lists this long non-coding RNA (734 nucleotides) under Cricetulus griseus (Chinese hamster). RNAcentral describes it as "lncRNA (ENSCGRG00000025409.1)". Lineage: Eukaryota; Metazoa; Chordata; Mammalia; Rodentia; Cricetidae. The record is from RNAcentral.
GGGAGAUGGUUCAGCAGGUGAAAAAAAAAAGUACUUGCCACGAAGGCCUGGCAGGCUGAAUUCAAUCCUUGGAACACACAUUAAAAUCCAGAUGCAGAAGCACACAUCUGUACUUCCAGUAGUACAGCCAGUACAGCAAGUUCAGCCAGGAGCACUAGCCUAAAGCUCAAAUGCACAGCACAGUGGCAGCGAGAGACUCUGCCUCAAAGCAAGGUGGAUUGAGCAAACCAGCUCCUGGCUGUUGUCCUCUGACUUCCAUACCUGUGCUGUGGCAUGUGUCCCUCCCCCAUUUUUAAAAAAGGAAUAUAUGGCUCCUUUCACAGGAAAACACCAAAUGGUAGAUGACACCAGUUUGGUGUGCCCAGGAGGACCUGGUGGACGCAGGGAAAGAAGCUGGAUUGGGAGGCCAUGGUGACUUUCACAGAGGCUUCAGUAGCAUCUGGAGAGGAGACGACCAGGUUUGUGAAGGCACUGAGAUAACCUGCAGGUUCCAAACCUGCCGUUAUCAUGGGUACAACAGAACCUUGCUGGAUCAUUCCCAGAUGAGGGCAAUCAUCCAUGAGGGUGAGGCUGUACCCCAGACCAUGAGUCAUCAUCUCCUGGGAAUCAGCCUGUCCUCUCAGGCAAUAGAGACUUCCUUGGACCAUCUUGAAGAAUUGGAGUUGAGACAACUAUCAAUUAGAUCACACCUUGACUUAAGACUGCUGGGGUUGAAUUCAGGUUGUCAGGCUUGA